UACGUAGGGGGCGAGCGUUGUCCGGAUUUAUUGGGCGUAAAGAGCUCGUAGGCGGUUCGAUAAGUCGGAUGUGAAAUCUCCACGCUCAACGUGGAGGGGCCAUUCGAUACUGUCGUGACUCGAGUCCGGUAGGGGAGUGUGGAAUUCCCGGUGUAGCGGUGGAAUGCGCAGAUAUCAGGAGGAACAUCCGUGGCGAAGGCGGCUCUCUGGGACGGUACUGACGCUGAGACGCGAAAGCGUGGGGAGCGAACAGG
This 254-nucleotide ribosomal RNA is filed under the name uncultured bacterium. RNAcentral describes it as "partial 16S ribosomal RNA". It matches the Rfam family "Bacterial small subunit ribosomal RNA", at positions 524 to 776 of the family's 1533-position model. The record is from RNAcentral.